Molecule: unclassified non-coding RNA, 866 nt
Filed under: Hevea brasiliensis (rubber tree)
Lineage: Eukaryota; Viridiplantae; Streptophyta; Magnoliopsida; Malpighiales; Euphorbiaceae
Source: RNAcentral
AAGUGAGGAAGCUAUUGAAACUGCCAAGCUAGUUACUUUGAAAGAAGGUUUGCUGGUGGGAAUAUCAUCCGGUGCUGUAGCUGCUGCUGCUAUGAAGCUGGCAAAGAGAUCAGAAAAUGCUGGGAAACUCAUUGUAGUAAGUCUGAUUAGCACAAAAAUUGGUCCUGUCACUCCCUGCAAGCAUAGUCUGCUAAGGAUGCUAGUACCAUGCCUAACUCAUCGAAUGGAUUAACUUCUCGCAUCUGUAGGUGAUUGCCAUCCAAUAUGCUGUACACGUACCAAGUCAUUUUGUUUUGUUUGCUGUGCAGGUAGUUUUUGCCAGUGCUGGGGAGCGUUAUCUGUCCUCUAGGUUGUUUGAGUCCCUUAGACACGAAGCUGAAAAAAUGACUUUUGAUUAAGAUCACAAUGAGGGUAGGAUAGGCCUUCAUAGGCCCUGUUUUCAGUAUAUUAUAAUAUUUCUGGAACUUAUGAUUUGUUUUUAGUUAUGCACUUGUCUUGGUAAGGGCUGAACUAAUGCAGGCCUUCAUCACCGCAAUUUUGAGUUGAAGUAAGCACCCCUCCAAUGUGCAAAUGAAAGCCACCCUCAAGGCCAUGUGCCUUCUAUGUUACUCAUUCUCCUAAUAUAAAAUAAAUGAACAAGUUUAUCCUUCACAUAUAAUGUAAUCAAUUGUCCUCGAUGAUUCUUAAGCAACUUAAUCAUAUAGGAUUGGCCUAUAUCAUUGUUGAACUGAAUGUAUAUAUAAAUUCCAAGUAGGAUUUUGAUAUGUUUAUGACAUAUUUUAAUUAGUUUUUCAUGCAGAUCAUAGCAAGUUAAACAAUUGACAAUCAAAAGGCCGGGAAAUUAUGAGUAUUGUACAGCAUUUUUA